This 261-nucleotide unclassified non-coding RNA is filed under the name Hevea brasiliensis (rubber tree). The record is from RNAcentral. Lineage: Eukaryota; Viridiplantae; Streptophyta; Magnoliopsida; Malpighiales; Euphorbiaceae.
UCAAGAACAAUGGAGUGCACGGACAUCCGAGCGAUCUCAGAAAUUGCAGCCUCUCUAUCACCAGGCACUUCACUGGUCAGGUCCUCGUACGCAGCCUCGAAUGCCUCUUGCCAGAAACGCGGUAGCCUGAUCCGGCGAUUAUUUGUAUAAACGUCCCACAUGUGCUUCACUAUCUUCUCCCUUUCCUCCAUCUCAAGCACAUCGAGAUCGUCAUGGAUGUUAAAAUCGAUAUCAUCAGAUAGGCCGUUGAGAUUACCGGCG